UGGCCCAUAGCCAAGCGGUAAGGCAUCGGGUUUUGGUCCCGAGAUGCCCAGGUUCGAAUCCUGGUGGGCCAGCCA
Molecule: transfer RNA, 75 nt
Filed under: Pullulanibacillus pueri
Lineage: Bacteria; Bacillati; Bacillota; Bacilli; Caryophanales; Sporolactobacillaceae
Also listed under: 1 other name
Description: tRNA-Gln
Rfam family: tRNA
About the family: Transfer RNA (tRNA) molecules are approximately 80 nucleotides in length.
Source: RNAcentral